UUAGUAGUGCCCGCCAAAACAUUGGCAAUGGUCUGUUCACAUACACAGUUACCCCCAAACAAGCCAAAUUACAGGCCUUCUUCAUCAAUUCUAUCAACAAACACAGAUCCAACGAAGGAGAUAGGAGGAACUUGAUGGGUUCUUCACCAAAUCUUGCUGGAACCAAUAAGGAAUCAGAUUCCCCAAACGUAAGCUGUCAUGUUUUCAUCGCGUUCUUCCCUUUCCCUGAUCCAUU
Molecule: long non-coding RNA, 235 nt
Filed under: Hordeum vulgare
Lineage: Eukaryota; Viridiplantae; Streptophyta; Magnoliopsida; Poales; Poaceae
Description: long non-coding RNA (HVUL_LNC004345)
Source: RNAcentral